UCCUUAAGUGGGGGAUAACGCAUCGAAAGAUGUGCUAAUACCGCAUAUCUCUCAGGAGGAAAGCAGGGGAUCGAAAGCCUUGCGCUAAAGGAGCGGCUGAUGUCUGAUUAGCUAGUUGGUGGGGUAAAGGCUUACCAAGGCAACGAUCAGUAGCUGGUCUGAGAGGACGACCAGCCACACUGGGACUGAGACACGGCCCAGACUCCUACGGGAGGCAGCAGUGGGGAAUUUUGGACAAUGGGCGAAAGCCUGAUCCAGCCAUGCCGCGUGAGUGAAGAAGGCCUUCGGGUUGCAAAGCUCUUUUAGUCGGAAAGAAAGAAUCAUAGUAAAUAGCUAUGAUUUAUGACGGUACCGACAGAAAAAGCACCGGCUAACUACGUGCCAACANCCGCGGUAAUACGUAAGGUGCGAUCGU
RNAcentral lists this ribosomal RNA (415 nucleotides) under uncultured beta proteobacterium PV2P. Its description in RNAcentral is "bacterial SSU rRNA". It matches the Rfam family "Bacterial small subunit ribosomal RNA", at positions 129 to 541 of the family's 1533-position model. The record is from RNAcentral. Lineage: Bacteria; Pseudomonadati; Pseudomonadota; Betaproteobacteria; Nitrosomonadales; Nitrosomonadaceae.